Long non-coding RNA from Salvelinus sp. IW2-2015, 983 nucleotides. RefSeq lists it as uncharacterized. Lineage: Eukaryota; Metazoa; Chordata; Actinopteri; Salmoniformes; Salmonidae. The record is from RefSeq and is a predicted model, not a curated record.
GUGAGAGGGGAGGGUAGAGUAAGUGAGAGGGUAAUAAGAGAAAGAGAGGAGAGAGGGAGAAGAGAAAAUAGUAGAAAGAGAGGGCAGAGCAGACUGCAUUUCCAGACUGCGAGAUAGGUGCAUUAGACGGACAAUCUACUGAGAGAGUUCAAGAGAGAAAGGAGGGGGAUCAUGGAGGAGUCAGCAGUGAGGUCAAGGGAAGGACUCCUGCCUGACUGAACCUGCUGUGAACCUACGCACAACACGGAGGCACAGACGUGCACAGACACACUCACACCAGUGGAGGGCUAUAAUUGGAAAUGGGAGAGAUUGAAGGGAGUCGGAUAUCCUCGUCACCGAGAGGAAGAGGGAGCGGAGCUAAAGAGGAGGCAGAUUAUAUGCAAUGUUCCUUUGCAGCCUUCUGAUUUAAUGUCAUGUGGUGUUUAGAGGAUGGAGGGAUCAUAUGGUUUAGGUUUGACAGACAACCAACAGAACAGAUGACUUGUUGUUGUACGUUCUAUUCAGAUACAGUAUCACAGAGCCAGAUACAUUUUACAGAUUAAAAGCAUGUUUAAAACCUCUUAAACGUUAAGUCCCUUAUUUUGUGGCCUUUGAGCGGUUCUGGACCAAUUCCGACUGACAUUUUUGUGUACGGAGCGCUCUGUGAAUGGCGCGACAUCAAUUGCUGUACACUCCGUGAACUCGCUGGUUGRCCCGCUUCGCUCGUCGUUCUUUGCUCUCAUCUGAGAUGCAGAACGUGAAACCUGACACCUCAUUUGCAUAGGGACCACCACAUCACAUUUUCUGGCCWAUCCAGACAAAGGAUCGAUAUCCACUGCCUGUGAACCUCGCAGCUCCCCUUACAAUGCGGCAUAUGAAACGGGAGACCCUAGAGAUUGCAGCAAAAGCAGCCUCGCUGUGAUCUUCUCAGAACCUGAAAAAAUACAAAAUAAUUUKGUCGAAUUUAAACAAGACCACGCUCUGCUUAAAGCUGAAGUUGCAAC